AAACAAAAAGUGCAGUGCAUGCACCCCUUG
Molecule: transfer RNA, 30 nt
Filed under: Gyrodactylus salmonis
Lineage: Eukaryota; Metazoa; Platyhelminthes; Monogenea; Gyrodactylidea; Gyrodactylidae
Description: partial tRNA-Trp
Source: RNAcentral